GAUGAAACGCUGGCGGCGUACCUAACACAUGCAAGUCGAACGAAAGCGCCUGGCCCCGACUUCUUCGGAACGAGGAGCCUUGCGACUGAGUGGCGGACGGGUGAGUAAAACGCGUGGGGCAACCUGCCUUGCACUGGGGGAUAACAGCCAGAAAUGGCUGCUAAUACCGCAUAAGACCGAAGCGCCGCAUGGCGCGGCGGCCAAAAGCCCCCGGCGGUGCCAAGAUGGGCCCGCGUCUGAUUAGGUAGUUGGCGGGGUAACGGCCCACCAAGCCGACGAUCAGUAGCCGACCUGAGAGGGUGACCGGCCACAUUGGGACUGAGACACGGCCCAGACUCCUACGGGAGGCAGCAGUGGGGAAUAUUGCACAAUGGGGGAAAACCCUGAUGCAGCGAACGCCGCGUGAAAGGAUGAAGUAUUUCGGUAUGUAAACUUCUAUCAGCAGGGAAGAAGAUGACGGUACCUGACUAAGAAGCCCCGGCU
This 483-nucleotide ribosomal RNA is filed under the name uncultured bacterium. Its description in RNAcentral is "bacterial SSU rRNA". It matches the Rfam family "Bacterial small subunit ribosomal RNA", at positions 32 to 498 of the family's 1533-position model. The record is from RNAcentral.